AAUGGGCGCAAGCCUGAUCCAGCCAUGCCGCGUGAGUGAUGAAGGCCCUAGGGUCGUAAAGCUCUUUCGCCUGUGAAGAUAAUGACGGUAGCAGGUAAAGAAACCCCGGCUAACUCCGUGCCAGCAGCCGCGGUAAUACGGAGGGGGUUAGCGUUGUUCGGAAUUACUGGGCGUAAAGCGCGCGUAGGCGGAUUAGUCAGUCAGAGGUGAAAUCUCAGGGCUCAACCCUGGAACUGCCUUUGAUACUGCUAGUCUUGAGUUCGAGAGAGGUAAGUGGAAUUCCGAGUGUAGAGGUGAAAUUCGUAGAUAUUCGGAGGAACACCAGUGGCGAAGGCGGCUUACUGGCUCGAUACUGACGCUGAGGUGCGAAAGUGUGGGGAGCAAACAGGAUU
Molecule: ribosomal RNA, 392 nt
Filed under: uncultured Gammaproteobacteria bacterium
Lineage: Bacteria; Pseudomonadati; Pseudomonadota; Gammaproteobacteria
Description: bacterial SSU rRNA
Rfam family: Bacterial small subunit ribosomal RNA
Source: RNAcentral